RNAcentral lists this ribosomal RNA (352 nucleotides) under uncultured bacterium. Its description in RNAcentral is "bacterial SSU rRNA". It matches the Rfam family "Bacterial small subunit ribosomal RNA", at positions 8 to 334 of the family's 1533-position model. The record is from RNAcentral.
AGGGUUUGAUUAUGGCUCAGGACGAACGCUGGCGGCGUGCUUAACACAUGCAAGUCGAACGGGAAGAGAUGAAGAGCUUGCUCUUUAUCAAAUCCAGUGGCAAACGGGUGAGUAACACGUAAACAACCUGCCUUCAGGAUGGGGACAACAGACGGAAACGACUGCUAAUACCGAAUACGUUCCACGGGCCGCAUGACCUGUGGAAGAAAGGGUAGCCUCUACCUGUAAGCUAUCGCCUGAAGAGGGGUUUGCGUCUGAUUAGGCAGUUGGUGGGGUAACGGCCCACCAAACCAACGAUCAGUAGCCGGUCUGAGAGGAUGAACGGCCACACUGGAACUGAGACACGGUCCAG